AGUAUGUGAAAACUGAAGUUUUUUGUCUUAAUGUAGUCAAAUACUUUUUCAAUCCUUCCCUUUAAGGUUCAUGGUGUUUGCGUCUUAAGAAAUUCUUUACUUCCUUUUACUGGCUAUGGUAGCAAGAGUUUCAGGGUGUGUAUGUGCUCAGUUGCUUCUGUCACAUCCCAAGGAUGGGAAGCAAAAGUCUGUAGUUCUGAGGGCCAACCCUGGAAAGAGGAAAGGCAUGGAGGAAGAAAGAGAGAGAGUUGGAGGACUGUCGGCACCAGCCCCUACACUGAGCUAGUCCUCAACAGCACGAUUUCUAGAGUUCCGCUGGACUCAGGCCCCAUAGCCCCAGGAGGAUGCUGAGUCACGAUCCCUGGCCCCUGGGAUAAGAGAGCUCCUCAGGCCACAGCAACCAACAGGCCAGGGAAGACCUCUGUCCUUGGGCAUGAGGAAUCUCUUAAGACAGAGAGGCCAAGAUUCCCCUGGAGCAUGGACAGAGUUUUUCCCAUCCACAUUGGGAAUUGUCUUCCCGCGGCCUGCCUCUGAGAGGUUUGGGGAGGUGGCAGCUGAGACUCGACAAGCUCUGUGUCCAUCCAGCUUCUAAGUCUUGAAGUCACCUGGCACCAGCACCUCCUGGGCUGUGUCACCACCUCCCCCUUUUCACCCAGGAUGAGCUCAAUCAGCACCAAGCUGACCUGAACCUCCAGGCUACAGGAGGUUUCCCUCGAUGGUCUUCUUCACCCGGCAUGGACCGGCCCUCCAUCCAAGGACGGUUCUCCAGUGCCUUAUCCUCUCUUCUAAAUAGGUGUUUUCUUCCCAGCCCUUCCCCCCACCAAACUCCUUAUUACUUCUUUGUUUUUUAAAAUCUACAAUUUUUUCCCCCUGGGAAAGAUUCACCCUGAGCUAACAUCUAUUGUCAAUCUUCCUCUAUUUUUUAGUAUGUGAGCCACCAGCACAGCAUUGCUGCUAACAGAGUCGUGUGGGUCCAUACCUGGGAACUGAACCCAGGCUGCUGAAGCAGAUCACGCUGAACUUAACCACUAGGCCACUGGGGCUGGUCCCUUCCUCUCUUUUUUUUUUCCCACCCCAAAGCCCAGUACAUAGUUGUAUGUUGUAGUUGUAGCUCCUCCUAGUUCUUCUGUGUGAGCCGCUGCCACAGCAUGACUACUGACAGAUGAGUGGUGUGGUUCUGGGCCCGGGAACCAAACCUGGGCCACCAAAGCAGAGUGUGCCAAACUUUAACCACUAAGCCAUCAGGGCUGGCUCCCACCAAACUCUUGAUAAUUUACAUCACAACCCAAAUGGUUUUUGCUACAGUUAGCAGAUCAUUGAUGUCAUCUUCCCAGGGAUGCAACAAUCUUGCUUCUCAUCAGCUCCCACCUCCCACCUAGCCCCAGCCCCUCUUCCCCAGAGUCCUUGUUCCCCUUCGGUGAACCCAAUUUAGCUGAGACACAUCAGGGGGUGCCAAUGGUCUGUGAAUUAUGGUGAGUUUCCUAAAGGUUAUGGGAGUUGAACGGGAAUUUCCCUAACAUAAUCGAAAGGAAUUAUGAACACAUUUUAAUAUAAUAAAAGCAGAUUUGUGUAAUGUGUAAUGUGUCUGUUUCUUGCCCCAGGGAAGGCCUGGCUGGCUGGAGCUCUGCCUUCCCUCCCUGACCCUUUUUCUCCCAUCUUCAUCCUGUAGUUUGUCAUGGUAACCAGUAGGUGGCUGCAAUUAUACAUACCCGCACAUGUGUGCGCACACACACACACACACACACACUCUCUCUCUCUCUCUCUCCAAGCUAUUCAUUUUCAUUUACAAAGUUGCCAAAAAUAAAUGAAUGAGUG
Equus caballus (horse) is the source of this 1815-nucleotide long non-coding RNA. NCBI's taxonomy places the organism in Eukaryota, Metazoa, Chordata, Mammalia, Perissodactyla, Equidae. The record is from Ensembl.